UGAAUAUCCUUCAGCUCACUUCAGGAGGUAACCAGAGCCACGCUUGGCAGUCAAGAUUUCAUCUUUGGAAUUGCUAAUCAGUGUAGCCUAUGACAAAUGGGCUCUGGAUGCCAGCACUCAUAGGCUGAUUUACAUGUGCGUGGAGGUCCCAUCAGAUUCCAAGGGGUGACUCCUACUUCUGUUUGUGCUGCUGAAGAAAAGGAUACAGGAGUGAACAAUUGCCUUUCCCCAGGGUCCGGCUGCAGAGGGGGAAUUGUUCAAGUUCACAAGAAGGAUCGGACCUGGAACCUUCACGACAAAGUGGGAUGUCCGUCGAGACUUGAAGGAAGCCAGGGGAACCAGAAGGCAGAGAAGAGCAGGGAGAGUGCACCAGGCAUAGAGGACAGACAAUGUGAAGGCAUGGAGUCUAGAAAUGGCAUUGCUUUUUAGCCACUAAAAUAUUUUACAUUUUAAAAUAU
This 458-nucleotide long non-coding RNA is filed under the name Monodelphis domestica (gray short-tailed opossum). RNAcentral describes it as "lncRNA (ENSMODG00000034111.2)". Lineage: Eukaryota; Metazoa; Chordata; Mammalia; Didelphimorphia; Didelphidae. The record is from RNAcentral.